This 484-nucleotide ribosomal RNA is filed under the name uncultured bacterium. RNAcentral's name for it is "partial 16S ribosomal RNA". It matches the Rfam family "Bacterial small subunit ribosomal RNA", at positions 30 to 507 of the family's 1533-position model. The record is from RNAcentral.
AUUGAACGCUGGCGGCAGGCCUAACACAUGCAAGUCGAGCGGAUGAAGGGAGCUUGCUCCUGGAUUCAGCGGCGGACGGGUGAGUAAUGCCUAGGAAUCUGCCUGGUAGUGGGGGAUAACGUCCGGAAACGGGCGCUAAUACCGCAUACGUCCUGAGGGAGAAAGUGGGGGAUCUUCGGACCUCACGCUAUCAGAUGAGCCUAGGUCGGAUUAGCUAGUUGGUGGGGUAAAGGCCUACCAAGGCGACGAUCCGUAACUGGUCUGAGAGGAUGAUCAGUCACACUGGAACUGAGACACGGUCCAGACUCCUACGGGAGGCAGCAGUGGGGAAUAUUGGACAAUGGGCGAAAGCCUGAUCCAGCCAUGCCGCGUGUGUGAAGAAGGUCUUCGGAUUGUAAAGCACUUUAAGUUGGGAGGAAGGGCAGUAAGUUAAUACCUUGCUGUUUUGACGUUACCAACAGAAUAAGCACCUGCUAACUUCGUG